RNAcentral lists this ribosomal RNA (373 nucleotides) under uncultured organism. RNAcentral's name for it is "partial 16S ribosomal RNA". It matches the Rfam family "Bacterial small subunit ribosomal RNA", at positions 527 to 896 of the family's 1533-position model. The record is from RNAcentral.
GUAGGUGGCAAGCGUUGUCCGGAAUUAUUGGGCGUAAAGCGCGCGCAGGCGGUUCUUUAAGUCUGAUGUGAAAGCCCACGGCUCAACCGUGGAGGGUCAUUGGAAACUGGAGAACUUGAGUACAGAAGAGGAAGGCGGAAUUCCACGUGUAGCGGUGAAAUGCGUAGAGAUGUGGAGGAACACCAGUGGCGAAGGCGGCUUUCUGGUCUGUAACUGACGCUGAGGCGCGAAAGCGUGGGGAGCAAACAGGGAUUAGAUACCCUGGUAGUCCACGCCGUAAACGAUGAGUGCUAAGUGUUAGGGGGUUUCCGCCCCCUUAGUGCUGCAGCUAACGCAUUAAGCACUCCGCCUGGGGAGUACGGCCGCAAGGCUG